GAUGAACGCUGGCGGCGUGCCUAAUACAUGCAAGUCGAACGGACGGGCGCUGAGCUUGCGUCGUUGACGUUAGCGGCACGCGGGUGAGUAACACGUGUAUAACCUCCCUAUAAUUCUGGGAAAACUUCGGAACACCGGAGCUAAUACCGGAUAAUAUUCUGAACCGCGGUGGGCGAUGGUAAAAUACGGUCGUGCGGUAUCGUAUAGAGGCAUCCCCGCUGCAUUGGCUAGUUGGUAAGGUAAAGGCUUAUCAAGGCAACGAUGCGUAGCCGACCUGAGAGGCGGGUCGGCGGCCCUGGAGGUGGGACACGGUCCAGGGUCCUACGGGAGGCAGCAGUAGGGAAUCUUCCGCAGUGGGCGGAAGCCUGACGGAGCAGCGCGGCGCGAGUGAUGACGGUGUUCGGUUCGUAAAGCUCUGUUAUUAGGGGAGAACCUAUUUGUAAGGAGCUGUGCAGAGCUUGACGGUACCUAAUCAGAAAGCCACGGCUAACUACGUG
Molecule: ribosomal RNA, 497 nt
Filed under: uncultured bacterium
Lineage: Bacteria
Description: partial 16S ribosomal RNA
Rfam family: Bacterial small subunit ribosomal RNA
Source: RNAcentral